This 1078-nucleotide ribosomal RNA is filed under the name Triticum aestivum (bread wheat). RNAcentral describes it as "partial small subunit ribosomal RNA". The record is from RNAcentral. Lineage: Eukaryota; Viridiplantae; Streptophyta; Magnoliopsida; Poales; Poaceae.
GUUACAACCUCCCACCCCUGUGGCACCCCACCUCCGACGCCCCACCUCCUCCACCCCCGCGGCGCCCCGGCCCGGCCACAAUCCCGCGCCGCCCCACCUUACCUCCGUCCAGCCUUGUGGCGCUCCAGUGGAACCCCGCCCCACUGCCUCCCCGCCGGCCCAGAUUCGUGGCUGCGCCGGCUCCUGUUUCAUCUCUUCCCGACGCCAAUUCCAACCACCAUCCCUCCUCGGCCUACCUGCCCCCUCGUCGACCAGCCACCGGAUUCACCCGUCACCGUCCUUUCGCGUGUGGCCGGCGUUGGAUCUGCUUGCCGCCGCCCCCUGCAAACCACCGGGUCGAGGGGCAGCUGGAUCCGCCCCGUCCCCGUUCUCCCACGGCUGCCCGGCGCCGGAUCCGCGUCUUGUCUCCCCCCACCCUUAGGGGCGUCCUCCCUGUCCCCAUGUCGAGGGGAACUUGUCUUCAACGAUUUGAGGGGGGCGGGGGCGGCGAGCUUGCGGGUCGCCGGUGACUCUCCCCUCCCCAUCCCUCUACCUCCUCCCUCCCAUCCUGCUACAUCCCACCUCGUUCUUCUUCCUCUCCGACCGCGACGCAAAUCCCUGGCCCUAGUUCUUCUUCCUCUCCAAUCGUGAGAUGCAGACCGGGGCGUUGAUGUUGCAGUGCGGUUCAUUGGGCGACGAUGCUAUUUUUGUAUUCUGUUCAUUGGCCGCGUUCUUUGCUCUAUGUGCAGCUUUGGUCGCUCGGCGGUGCAUUUUCAGUGGUUACGCAGUGCGGGAUGUGCACACAUGAAGCUCGGUCAAAUCCAAAAAACUACCCAACAAUGGAGUAGUCCAGCGGCAUGUUUGUGUGUGUUUCAGAUUUUGUUUUGUUUGAAGUUUAGUAAGCUUUUACUUUCAAAAAAUAUGUGUUCGUUAUGUUGCAGUGUAGCCGUCGCUCGUUUGUAUCUCGUGCGGAGUUCGCUAGUGAUCCUGUAUGUGCCUAUCAGAAGUUCGUUUCUGCUAGGAUGGCAUUCAUUUUGUCAAGCAUAUUUUUGACCUAUAUCUUUGUGGGGUAUUCUUGUUGUAUGUGUAUGUGAUUCUC